GCACCUUUCCUGUUUUUAAAAAGAUAGAACAACAAAGAACGAAGUCGAGGAGAAACCUUCCGUUUAUCAAGUAUCAUUAUGAAGCUUGUCAAACAAAUCAAUGGCUGAAAUGUAUCAAGUGGAGCAAAAUCAAAAUUCAGUUUUGGGAAUUCCAGUCUAUAAAAUCAUCAAAGAGUUUAAAUAUACUGCAAAAGUAUAAAGAUGUCACUGAGAAACACAUAUCUGAUAAAGAC
This is a long non-coding RNA of Mytilus californianus (California mussel), 233 nucleotides long. RefSeq lists it as uncharacterized. The transcript is spliced from 3 exons. The record is from RefSeq and is a predicted model, not a curated record. NCBI's taxonomy places the organism in Eukaryota, Metazoa, Mollusca, Bivalvia, Mytilida, Mytilidae.